GCGGUAAUACCAGCUCUCCGAGUGGUAGGGACGAUUAUUGGGCUUAAAGCGUCCGUAGCCGGCUUAGCAAGCCUCCUGUUAAAUUCAACGACCUAAUCGUUGAGCCGCGGGAGAUACUACUAGGCUAGGAGGCGGGAGAGGCCGACGGUAUUCUCGGGGUAGGGGUGAAAUCCUAUAAUCCCGG
This 184-nucleotide ribosomal RNA is filed under the name uncultured archaeon. RNAcentral describes it as "partial 16S ribosomal RNA". It matches the Rfam family "Archaeal small subunit ribosomal RNA", at positions 467 to 651 of the family's 1478-position model. The record is from RNAcentral.